GAGUGGCGGACGGGUGAGUAAUGUCUGGGAAACUGCCUGAUGGAGGGGGAUAACUACUGGAAACGGUAGCUAAUACCGCAUAACGUCGCAAGACCAAAGAGGGGGACCUUCGGGCCUCUUGCCAUCGGAUGUGCCCAGAUGGGAUUAGCUAGUAGGUGGGGUAAAGGCUCACCUAGGCGACGAUCCCUAGCUGGUCUGAGAGGAUGACCAGCCACACUGGAACUGAGACACGGUCCAGACUCCUACGGGAGGCAGCAGUGGGGAAUAUUGCACAAUGGGCGCAAGCCUGAUGCAGCCAUGCCGCGUGUAUGAAGAAGGCCUUCGGGUUGUAAAGUACUUUCAGCGGGGAGGAAGGGAGUAAAGUUAAUACCUUUGCUCAUUGACGUUACCCGCAGAAGAAGCACCGGCUAACUCCGUGCCAGCAGCCGCGGUAAUACGGAGGGUGCAAGCGUUAAUCGGAAUUACUGGGCGUAAAGCGCACGCAGGCGGUUUGUUAAGUCAGAUGUGAAAUCCCCGGGCUCAACCUGGGAACUGCAUCUGAUACUGGCAAGCUUGAGUCUCGUAGAGGGGGGUAGAAUUCCAGGUGUAGCGGUGAAAUGCGUAGAGAUCUGGAGGAAUACCGGUGGCGAAGGCGGCCCCCUGGACGAAGACUGACGCUCAGGUGCGAAAGCGUGGGGAGCAAACAGGAUUAGAU
Molecule: ribosomal RNA, 694 nt
Filed under: Escherichia coli
Lineage: Bacteria; Pseudomonadati; Pseudomonadota; Gammaproteobacteria; Enterobacterales; Enterobacteriaceae
Description: bacterial SSU rRNA
Rfam family: Bacterial small subunit ribosomal RNA
Source: RNAcentral